RNAcentral lists this ribosomal RNA (440 nucleotides) under uncultured bacterium. RNAcentral describes it as "partial 16S ribosomal RNA". It matches the Rfam family "Bacterial small subunit ribosomal RNA", at positions 338 to 795 of the family's 1533-position model. The record is from RNAcentral.
CCUACGGGUGGCAGCAGUAGGGAAUAUUGCUCAAUGGGCGAAACCCUGAAGCAGCAACGCCGCGUGGGGGAUGAAGGUUUUCGGAGUGUAAACUCCUUUUUUUAGAGAAGAUAAUGACGGUAUCUGACGAAGAAGCACCGGCUAACUACGUGCCAGCAGCCGCGGUAAUACGGAGGGUGCCAGCGUUACUCGGAAUGACUGGGCGUAAAGCGGGCGUAGGCGGGAUAGCAAGCCAGAUGUGAAAUCCUAUGGCUUAACCAUGGAACUGCAGUUGAAACUGUUAAUCUAGAGUACGGGAGAGGCAGGCGGAAUUCGUGGGGUAGGGGUAAAAUCCGUAGAUAUCAAGAGGAAUACUGAUUGCGAAGGCGACCUGCUAGAACGUAACUGACGCUGAUGCGCGAAAGCGUGGGGAGCAAACAGGAUUAGAUACCCGAGUAGUC